CUCUACUAAAAAUACAAAAAUUAGCCAGGCGUGGUGGCGCGCGCCUGUAAUCCGAGCUACUCGGGAGGCUGAGGCAGAAGAACCCCUUGAACCCGGGAGGCGGAGGUUGCAGUGAGCCGAGAUCGCGCCACUGCACUCCUGCCUGGGACACAAAGCAUGACUCCGUCUCAAAAUAAAAAUAAUCGUUAGAUCAUUAAGUGCGGGAAUUCUAAAAAGGGUCUGGAACUCUCGGACGGUUGUGGAUCACUACACCGGAAGCUUAAGGGGAAUGAAAUCGGCGAGAAAUGAGGGUCCUAAAGCCCGGGCCGAAGUGACAGGUCCACCCCUAGUGACUCCAACAGUUCAGAGAGAGGCCUCAUUUACAAGGGGACCCUACAGUCCAUCUGCCCUGCUUCUCUGGGCAAAAGGUUCCCUCCAUAUUUCCUCCAUCCGGUAGAAAGCUUACUAUGUGUAGAUGCUCCAAGUGUCCGUGUCUGCUAACACACGUGUGAAGUGCCUCUAGAUGCUCUCCAGACCCUCUCUCUCGUGAAGAAGAAAGUCCAGGACAACUCAAGUGGUUUGCUCGGACAGUCAUCUUCAAGAUCAGGACAAUACCACUGGGCUUGCAAAUUCAACUUUACAGUGGAAAAUAAGUUUUGGAGAAUGCACCUCACAAAGGAAUAUAAAUUCUCCAAGAUGCUCCUGGAGAAGUUUGAACACAGUAAGAUUAAUCUUUCCAUUGCCACC
Symphalangus syndactylus (siamang) is the source of this 726-nucleotide long non-coding RNA. RefSeq lists it as uncharacterized. The record is from RefSeq and is a predicted model, not a curated record. NCBI's taxonomy places the organism in Eukaryota, Metazoa, Chordata, Mammalia, Primates, Hylobatidae.